Molecule: ribosomal RNA, 500 nt
Filed under: uncultured bacterium
Lineage: Bacteria
Description: bacterial SSU rRNA
Rfam family: Bacterial small subunit ribosomal RNA
Source: RNAcentral
ACUCAAAGGAAUUGACGGGGGCCCGCACAAGCAGCGGAGCAUGUGGUUUAAUUCGAAGCAACGCGAAGAACCUUACCAGGGCUUGACAUCCCUCUGACCGGUGUAGAGAUACACCUUUCCUUCGGGACAGGGGAGACAGGUGGUGCAUGGUUGUCGUCAGCUCGUGUCGUGAGAUGUUGGGUUAAGUCCCGCAACGAGCGCAACCCCUAUCUUUAGUUGCCAACAGGUAAAGCUGGGGACUCUAGAGAGACUGCCGGGGACAACUCGGAGGAAGGUGGGGAUGACGUCAAAUCAUCAUGCCCCUUAUGUCCUGGGCUACACACGUGCUACAAUGGCCUGAAACAAAGGGAAGCGAAGGCGCAAGCUGGAGCAAAUCUCAGAAACCAGGUCCCAGUUCGGAUUGUGGGCUGCAACUCGCCCACAUGAAGUCGGAGUUGCUAGUAAUCGCGAAUCAGCAUGUCGCGGUGAAUACGUUCCCGGGCCUUGUACACACCGCCCGU